UCUCAUAUACUUUCUUAGUGAAAGGAAUUGUUUUUCCCAUCUCCGUAACUAGGGUAGAGUAAUGAUCAUGUACUUAGGCCGGUCACCGGUGUAUCGAAGGCAACAAAGGUACCGAUGUUUUCAGCAAAAGUGUACGUGAUAUCCUAUUAUUGGUAUGAAGUUGUCAGAUAAACUUGUUGAAAGCUCUUCAACAGCGCUGGCUAAGUGGCUAAGGAGAAGACAGGGGACAUGAUGAUCUCGGCAUCCGUUACACCGUUAACGGCAAUUUUAGUAGGGUUCAUUACAUACCCAGCCGGGCCAAAUUAAUUAGUUUAGUAGGCUACCCAAAAAAGCCCGCUUUAAACCUAUAGGCCCAAACAACUACUACUAUAAAAUCACGGCCGGUGAAAGCUAGAUUUCAUCUCCUCGUCUUUAAUUAGGGCAAAAUCUUAGCUUUUAAAUUGAGGGUUUGUUUCCUCUGUUGUUUUCAGAUGGAGGGGUCUUGUAUUGACUUUGUUGUAUUGCUAAAUAGUGACUUAUCAUUCAAAAUCAUCUCCAAUCUGAAUAAUCCAGCUGAUGUUGUUCGCGCUAGUUCCGUUUCUCGUUUUUGGCGCCAGUUUGUGAUUGCUAGUGAAUUCUCUAAGAGUCUUUGCUUAAGAUUGUUCCCAGAAACAUUAAGUUCUAUUAAAGCAAUUAAGAAAACAAUGUAAUACAGUCUAUGGGGUGGUAGUGGAGGAGUGGAAAAGUUGAAGAAAAACCACGAAGUUUAGCACAUUCGUUGACAAAAGAAUGCAUAUUGGAAGCUAUAUGUGCGUCUAGUAGUCGUUCUAAUGCAGAAGAUAUUCACCAGACAUUGAUUCCUGGAGUUCUUUUUCAAGGGAGGUUUUCUUACUGGUCAAGUCCAGACUAAUCCUGAGGUGCCUGAGACAUUGACGUAUAGAUUAGUAUCCAAAUUGUGUUUCAUUAAUGAGAUCCAUAUCGAACCAUUCCAAGGUUAUUAUGUUAUGUUCAUGCUAUCUUGGUGCAUAGUUAUAUAUGGUUUGACCCCAUUAUGUUGGUUUUGGUUUAUUUCUAGAUUGCGUAAUUCUUUUGUGCACAGUGUUUUCCGAGCAUAAUUUAUAUUCAGCCAAGGAUGUGCGAUUUAGAAUGGGCCAUGUCAGGGAACCGCAACGAGAGAGAUAUCUUACGAGUGAUUAUGGCGCCGGUAAAUCCAUUGAAGAUCAUGUAGUGUGGACAUACACCUCGAAAAAGUUUCCAAUGAGACAGGAUGGCUAUUUGCAGAAGUUCAAGUUACCAGAACCUGUUCUUGCCAUUAGUGGACUUCUGCAGAUUGAAUUAUUGGGUCGCGUCCAGGCUGGAGUGUAUAAUGGUUUAUACAACUUACGUGUGUCUCACGUUCAAGUAGUAGGACGCCCACUUACAGAUGAUUUCAUUGCUGAGUUAAUUGAUUACUCUGGGAAAUGCGUCUUAAAGUACAACCCAGAACGAGCUACAUGUAACUAUUGGGGAUGGAGCAGCUAAUAAGUAUUAUAAGAAGUUUGGGACUCCAUUUAUCCCCUCCGCAAUCCUCUGGAGCACUUGGGCAUAACGAAGCCGAAGAGCUUUUUCAGAAAAAAAUGCCAAACCAAGGAUGAAGCCAUAGAAUCAGUGAGGACUCUAGCGCAAUUUCUACUCGUUGGGGGAUACAGUUUUCGACUUUUUGCCACCUAAACAUUAGUUUUAGUCUGUAAUCCAUGGAAAAUUUUGCUUCUCUUACAAUGAUCCCAGUGUUCAAGAAAGGGUCUUCAAGAAAUUCUAUGAGACAUUGGCGGAAACUAAAAACAAGAACAACCGUGGCUAUAGAUCUACCAUCUUAAAAAACUUGACGCGGCUACAGAUGUACCAUCUUGAAAUAGUUGACGUCCUUUAAGAUAAUGUAUGGAGAAGAGAAUUGUUCUGGUGUCACCAUUGCAAGUUUGUCUAUUCCUCAGGGUUAGUUAGCAUAUUUGCCUCCUAUUCAAGGACUAUGUUCAAGUUUUGUACCACCAUUGUUAUAUGCGGUUCUUGGAAGUUCAAGACAUUUAGCAGUUGGUCCAGUAUCAAUAGCAUCACUAGUAAUGGGUUCUAUGCUUAAACAAGUAGUCUCACCAACUGAAGUCUGAAGAUAAGAAUUCAUUUGGGCUAUUUUCUAUGCAGUUCAGAAUUUACUUGGAACUGCUUCUACAUGGUUCUUAAUCGAUAUUGCUUAUUACAGUCAGAAUUAGUUUCAGAAGGUUAUCUUUAGUGCACUUGGAUGGAUUCCACCAGCAAAAACUAUGAAUAGGAAUUCCUCAGAUUAUGCUCGGUUGCAUCAACCUUUUGGGUGCAUUGUUUACAUUUUUGGUGCCAGAACCUAAUGGAAGAUUGCUUGAAGAUAUGUCUGUUAAGAACAAAGAAGAUGAAACUGUUUCUACGUCAAGAAGUGUACAAAUAGUUUGCAGCGUAUUAGUAGUAUAACUAUUUCAUUUUUGAAGCGUCUAUAUAUGGCUAUGUACAUCUUAGAUGAGUUUCAA
Long non-coding RNA from Papaver somniferum (opium poppy), 2510 nucleotides. RefSeq lists it as uncharacterized. The record is from RefSeq and is a predicted model, not a curated record. The transcript is spliced from 7 exons. NCBI's taxonomy places the organism in Eukaryota, Viridiplantae, Streptophyta, Magnoliopsida, Ranunculales, Papaveraceae.